Aspergillus fumigatus Af293 is the source of this 71-nucleotide non-coding RNA. Lineage: Eukaryota; Fungi; Ascomycota; Eurotiomycetes; Eurotiales; Aspergillaceae. The record is from the annotation of a RefSeq genome assembly.
AGACACUUUCCUCCUUUUCGCCUGAGAGCCAUUAUCAGUAGCCACCUGUUCAGCUGUGCCUUUUUGCUCUA